CCUACGGGCGGCAGCAGUGAGGAAUAUUGGUCAAUGGGCGAGAGCCUGAACCAGCCAAGUCGCGUGAGGGAGUACUGCCCUAUGGGUUGUAAACCUCUUUUGCCGGGGAGCAAAAGCCGGACGUUUCCGGCUGUGAGAGUUCCCGAAGAAAAAGCAUCGGCUAACUUCGUGCCAGCAGCCGCGGUUAUACGGAGGAUGCGAGCGUUUUCCGGAUUUAUUGGGUUUUAAGGGUGCGCAGGCGGAUUGUUAAGUCAGCGGUAAAAUCGUGGGGCUCAACCCCGUCCAGCCGUUGAAACUGGGGGUCUUGAGUGUGCGAGAGGUAUGCGGAAUGCGUGGUGUAGCGGUGAAAUGCAUAGAUAUCGCGCAGAACCCCGAUUGCGAAGGCAGCAUACCGGUGCACAACUGACGCUGAGGCACGAAAGCGUGGGUAUCGAACAGGAUUAGAUACCCGAGUAGUC
RNAcentral lists this ribosomal RNA (458 nucleotides) under uncultured bacterium. Its description in RNAcentral is "partial 16S ribosomal RNA". It matches the Rfam family "Bacterial small subunit ribosomal RNA", at positions 338 to 795 of the family's 1533-position model. The record is from RNAcentral.